RNAcentral lists this long non-coding RNA (4114 nucleotides) under Canis lupus familiaris (dog). Its description in RNAcentral is "lncRNA (ENSCAFG00845020332.1)". Lineage: Eukaryota; Metazoa; Chordata; Mammalia; Carnivora; Canidae. The record is from RNAcentral.
GCAGCAGCAGCACCUGCAGCUCCUCCAGGCUAGCCCCCGCCACGUUCCUCUCCUGCCCUCAGCUCCCCGCCCCACGGCGCCACUCAUCUCCGGGCCACGUUUAGCUGAUGCUGAAGACUUUGGCCCUUGACGGAGGUCAAGGCCCUCGUGGCCUCCGUACCCCAGACCUGGAAGGAAACAAAUGUAAACGUUGACUCUAGAUGUAUCGGUGACUCGCUAGAGGAGAGCUUUCUGUGGCGUGGUAACGAGGCGGCCGUUGCCCGACUUAAUCAACUAGAAGUUUGCAGUGUCCCUCCAUUUCCUGGGGCUGCACCGCGGUCGCUCCUCUAGUAGAUACCGUACCACCAACCAAGCUUUGAUUGCACGGCUUUUGUUUUCUGCUUAAGUGUUUUUUUAAACAAUAUUUACGGGGAGAAGCUCAAACACGUAUACAGGCAGAGACUAGUGUCCUGACAUUCCCCCCAUGCAGCCAGCGGCAAACUUCAACACAUCAUGGCAACGUCUUCUUAGCUGUACCCGAGCUCCCCAGUCGAUUUGGACUGGUUAAUGUUUGCUUAUUUAUAUAUUUUUAAAGAUUUUAUUUAUUUGACAGAGAGGGAGAGGGAGAGAAAGAAUGAAUGAGGAGGGGGAGGGAGAAGCAGACUCCCUGCUGAGCAGGGAACCCAACAUGGAGCUGGAUCCCAGGACCCUCGGAUCACGCCCUGAGCUGAAGGCAGACGGUUUAGCUAAACCGACUGAACCACCCCAGGCGCCCCUUCGCUCAUGAAUUUAAAGGUAAAUCCUAGAUAUCACGUCACCCCUACAUAUUUUCCCCUGCAUCUGCUUGUCUGCACCAAACACAGUUUCUGCAAUAACCACAAAGCCAGUGUUGUAAUUAGCACAGUAACCUGGUGAAAGGAGUUCUUUGAUGUCUCUUAGCAUCCCGCCCAUGUUCGAAUUUCCCCACAUGUACCGGAAUGGCGAGGCUUGUCUGAGUAAGGGUCUAAGCCAGAGUGGGCUGCUGAGCAGGUGCUGUGGCGCACACUGCCCCCCCCCCCCCUGGGCUGGGCCUCCAGCUCACCUACGCCCACUGCUGCGCGGCCGCCCCCCCGCCCCCCCACAUUGUGCUUAUUUGUUUACAAGUCUGUUCUUUAGACUCCGGAGGCUGGGAGGAAAGGGUCUGUGGGCUGAUCAUCUCUACACCCCGGUUCUGAAACAGAUGGUCUGAUUUGGAACCCUGGCUCUCCCAGUUAAUUAGCUUGUUCGGUAACCAGCUAGUUAUCUGCUAAUGCGGGCUAAUUGUCCUGUCAAGACCUACGCUUCUUUAUCUGUGAAGCAGGGUGACAGUAUGAGCUCACAGGGCGUUGUGCGGGUUGAGUAAGUGCAAAGCAGGGACUCUGGGGCCGGGCACUCGGUACUUAGGAGCCGCUGGCUCUAGAGAUACAACCCCACGGAGGGCAGCAGAAACCACAUCCUCCGAGGUGUUUGGCGGCUCGUGGAUCCCUGGGAGGCACAGGGCCCAGCACGAGGACACUCGGGGCUCCAGCGCAGUGCUUAAAGUUGCACCGUCAGGUGCCCAGACCCGCCUUCUCUUCCCUCUGCCUUUAAGGUCACACCAGGAAAAGCAGUGCGCCAAGCCAGGAUGGGGGUGAAUGUGUGGGUUUGAGGACAAAAAGCCUCCUUGUUGUUUCUUCUGGAAACUGGCUGCUCCCUCCCAUGGCUGAGGUGGAGGGGCCCUCGCUGUGUGGGCAGCACACCUCCUGCUGGGGCACUGCCCCCACCCCGCCCCGCGCUCCCCACCCGGGCACCACCCACCCUGUGUGCUCCGGGGUGCCCAGCCAGGCGUGGUCCCUGCAGGCAGCUGCGGGACAGUGGGCUGGUGGCGGGCUCUGGCUCCACCUACCGGCCGCCUCAGGACACCUGCUUGUUCCCGGAGCUGGAAGUCCCAUGUGCUUCUUGCCCUCCAAACAGUUAAGUGUGCUCUGGCCUUUGCAACAAAAGGCUACUUCUUUACCCUACAAAACACAGGGCCUUCACUGAGGGCUUUCAGGGCAGGAAACCACCUGGCCUAGCAGGAAGAUCCUUUUGCUUCCCUUUUAAAGGCAUGGCUGAUUCCUGGCAGGUUUCUGGGGGUGGGGUGUUUAUCUUUGACAUCCUCCAACCUGCCUUCGCGUAUCACUAACCACAAACUGCCCGCUGCGGCAGGCAGCCCGCCCAGACCGGUCUACCUUUCAGAGGAUCUGCUAGGUCUCAUCACGAAAGAAAUGAAGUCUCUUCGUAAAAGAAAUCCCACGGUCCCUCACCCCACUCUGCACAAGCAGAGGUAUCGCAACUCGUUCACAAUGGCCAUGAGCAUCUUUUGCAAAAACAUUUACAUACCCAGAUAACUAAAGGAACCCACAUGUUGUAAAGGGGGAUGCGCCCCUGGGGCCGGCACUGCAGCCCUCUUCAGCUUCUAGGGCUGGUUCCCCGGGUGCCCCUUCUCUCCCUCCGUGCAAGUGCAGAUUCCUGGGGUCCCAGGCCCAGCCCUGGCUAGGUGACCUUUGGCUCCUCAUGGCCUCUCGGUCUGUUUCCUUCUCUGUAUGGUGGGACUGUAGCUCCACCUAGUUCAGCUCUGAGGACCGCAUGAGCUAAGACGUGUAGUACAGGCAGCAGGGGUAGUGGGCCUGACAGUCCGGUGGGUGAUGUUCCUUGGGUCAGUGCUUUUCAAAAUGUGGUCCCCAAGCAUCAGCAUGUGCUGGCAAAUUAUGAGAAAUACAAGUUCUCCGGCUCCUUCCCUCUGAUUCCCAGACCAACAGAAUCAGAGACACUGGGACCCACUAGUCCAUGUUUGCAGUCUCCCCGCACCGUCCCCUGCCCUGCCCUGGGCUCCAGCGCCAACGCCACUGGGGACGUGUAACACCUCCACACCAACUGCAUUGAGCCAACAGCUGUGAGCUGGGUAGUGAGGCCGAUGGCAGGCUUCAUCCCCAUUUAUAUAAAACAAGAAACCGAGUUCAGAGACCCCACAGUGAGCAGCAGGCAUUUGUGAGGCCCGGACUGUAGCCAGACCUGACUACAUGCUGGGGACAUGCUUGAAACACAGGAUGGUCUUUGCCCUUAAAAGGAGAGAAAGGCAGCUGGAGACGGGGACCUGGGCCCAUUUCUAUUCCACAGCCAGACCCCCGCUAACCUGCAAAGCACCAGAUCUCGAAUUAGACUCACUUUCACCCCUACUGCUUUCGAAUCUUCUUUAAAAGUGCAACGGGGUUUGGCAAUUGCCUUAGAUGGAGGCCACAAUCAGGCAGUAUUUAUUUUAACUAAACUAGGAGAAAUUUCAGUUUUUUAAUAACACGUACUUUGCCUUAUCAGUGACUUCCUGAUAGAAACUUCUAGAGCUUAUACAUUUCGCCCACCGCAUCUCAUUCCUUAUUUCUAGUGUUUUGCAGGUUUUUUUUUUUUUUUUAAUUAAGAUUUUAUUUACUUGAGAACGAGUGAGCAUGAGAGAGCACAAGUGGUGUAGAGAGAGAAGCAGGCUUCCCAUUGAGUAGGGAGCCUGACACGGGCUCGAUCCCAGGGCCCUGGGAUCAGAACCUGAGCCCAAGGCAGCUGUUUUACCAAGUCACCCGGGCGCCCAACUGUGUUACAGUUUAAUGCUUUUUCACACCUUCCCUACUGAUUUCCACAGUAACUCUAGGGGAGAACUCACCCGUGGUCCCCACCGUCCGCACGCGGGAACCCAGGCUCAGCGAGGUCAUAAGGGUUAGUGGCAGAACCAUCGGCGUAUCGAGUGUUUAUGAGACUCAGAAGGGGGGGCCACACCUACCCCCCAAGCUCUACAGUGAUUGGGAUGGGAUGGCUCCCUGGGGUUCUCUCUGCUGUGUUCCCAACAUCUACUCAGGGCACGACGGGCGCAUGGGGGAGCCGAGAGAGGGACACGGGCGCAGCCAGGGGUCACCUCACAGUUACAUAAGUUUAUUCACGCCUCAGCGGACACGACACACGUACACGUGUAUAUCGGGGCUCCAUGUUCCUGGCGAGCGGAGAUUUACAACCAGACUGACGUUCCAUCUCAUGUGUUCCCCGAGCUGGUUAAUGAUGGCCAUGAGCAGGGGCAGGACUCGAGGCUUUGAAAGAGAAGCAUAAUACGGGUAUC